Aegilops tauschii subsp. strangulata is the source of this 1095-nucleotide long non-coding RNA. RefSeq lists it as uncharacterized. The record is from RefSeq and is a predicted model, not a curated record. Lineage: Eukaryota; Viridiplantae; Streptophyta; Magnoliopsida; Poales; Poaceae.
GAACACACGUAAAUUCAUUUUGUUGAAUAUCGUACGAAACAACUUACAUGUAGUAUCUUGCAUUAAAAUUUCAAUGUGAUAUAUAUUUUAAUUAUUUUCCAAGCUACUCCACAAGGAUGCCGUAUCUGGUUAUUUGAAUAAGUGAAAAAAAAUGAAUUUGUGGCCGCCCUGACUGUCAACAGAGGCCCACUAGAGUCUGCAGCCGAAGUGGCGAUCCAGCAUGAGGGCUAAGCUGCGCUGUGAUUGGUUGAUCUAAGCGUCCCACGGAUCGCAGAUCUAAACCGUCUAUCCCCCUGAGAUCCAACGGCAAGGAAACCUCCCCCUCUUUCUUGUGUUUCCUUCCGUCCACCACGCCAGCUUCUCUUCCAUCGGCAGGAACUGGAUCUCGGUCGCCUCUUCCAGAUCCUCCACCCUCCACCCCCCGGUCCUCCACCCUACCCAUCCAUGGCCGCAUCCACUGCAGCAAGAAAAAGGCCGGCAGCCGCCGCAACCUCGCCAUCCAUGACCAUCCUCCCCUCUGCAUCCCGCAACCACCGCGUCAGCAGCCGCCGCGACUUUAGCCUCGUCUCACAGGCGGGGACGCCCCUGAAGGCGGACCUAUAGUGAACGCGGCGCUGACGCCGUUGCUGCGGAUGGUGCCCAUCUUGCUGCAAGCAGCGACCAGGUCCCUCGUGGGCGUGCAGAGCCUGGAUGGGUCGGGCGCGAUGACUAUGGGGUGCGGGAGGUCCCACUUCAGCCUCCACCUGACGACGCGCCUGGUCGAGUUCCGCCGCAUCAGAUCGGCGAGAUCCCACCAGGUCACCAGGUACUAUACGUUUAUGGACUCUUCAUCGAUGGAGACAGAGUGUCGUUCAGGAGGAUGGUUCGAGGCGAGAUGCCUGCGAAAAUGGUGUCUCCCAGGCACGGGCAUUAACCCCAGUUGACGUAUGGCGAGCGCCGCCGGCGCUUGAGGAGAUGGAGAGUAGUGUAGUGUUCUCAGGAGAUGUUUGUAAUUUUAAGUUUAGGGAUUUUUUGCUUUUGUAUAGGUGUAUUUCUCGGUUUGUUUAUGUAACUUUUAUUUUAUUUAAUGAAAUGAGCAUAUAUUUUUCUGAAAAA